UACGUAGGUGACAAGCGUUGUCCGGAUUUACUGGGCGUAAAGAGCGCGCAGGCGGUCGGUCAAGUCGAGUGUGAAAGCCCCCGGCUCAACUGGGGAGGGUCAUUCGAUACUGAUCGACUCGAAGGCAGGAGAGGGUAGUGGAAUUCCCGGUGUAGUGGUGAAAUGCGUAGAUAUCGGGAGGAACACCAAUGGCGAAGGCGACUACCUGGCCUGUUCUUGACGCUGAGGCGCGAAAGCUAGGGGAGCAAACGGG
This 253-nucleotide ribosomal RNA is filed under the name uncultured bacterium. RNAcentral describes it as "partial 16S ribosomal RNA". It matches the Rfam family "Bacterial small subunit ribosomal RNA", at positions 524 to 776 of the family's 1533-position model. The record is from RNAcentral.